This is a small nucleolar RNA of Caenorhabditis elegans, 95 nucleotides long. Lineage: Eukaryota; Metazoa; Nematoda; Chromadorea; Rhabditida; Rhabditidae. The record is from Ensembl.
AACCGGACCCUGCCUCUUCAUCAACUUCUUCCACGCCAUCAUCCACAUCAUCCUCGCCGCAGCCAUCGUCGUCGUCAUCCACUCCACCGACCAGC